UACAGAGGUCCCAAGCGUUGUUCGGAUUCAUUGGGCGUAAGGGGUGCGUAGGCGGCGCGGUAAGUCGGGUGUGAAAUCUUGGAGCUUAACUCCGAAACUGCAUUCGAUACUGCCGUGCUUGAGGACUGGAGAGGAGACUGGAAUUUACGGUGUAGCGGUGAAAUGCGUAGAUAUCGUAAGGAAGACCAGUGGCGAAGGCGGGUCUCUGGACAGUUCCUGACGCUGAGGCACGAAGGUCAGGGGAGCAAACGGG
RNAcentral lists this ribosomal RNA (253 nucleotides) under uncultured bacterium. RNAcentral's name for it is "partial 16S ribosomal RNA". It matches the Rfam family "Bacterial small subunit ribosomal RNA", at positions 524 to 776 of the family's 1533-position model. The record is from RNAcentral.